CAAAGAAGUACACAAACACCGCCGUUAUGGCAGGCAGCCCAACUUUGUUUCAUUGAUUUCAGACCUUUGCGCUCCUGUCGCCUUUGCGGAUUUGUAGGGUGGAAGAAAACACAGACAGUCGGACAUUCAUUUAUCCGAAGUGUGGAGAUUAAAAACGAAAACUAAAAAGUUUGAGAGUGAGAAAACUUUUAUCUGGAGUCAUGUGUCAACGUUAUGAGUGGAGACUAAAGAAAAGGGAGUCAGAGCCGGGAUGUUACUGCGUAAAAGUUCGCAAAAUGUGGGACCACCAACUGAUGGAAGGAGGCAGAUUUAUGGAGGGGGCUGGAGAAUAUCUCAGCUGUCGUGGGGGAAGAGGGAGGACACACCCUGGACAAGACGUCAGUCUGUCCCAGGCAGGCAACAGGCAACCAUUCAAUCCCACAACCAAUUUAGAAUCACCAAUUAAACUAACCCAUGCAUGUUUUUGGACUGUGGGAGGAUGCUGGAGUACCCAGAAAGAACCCACACAAGCACAGGCAGAACAUGCAAUCACCAAACAGAAAGGCCAGAGCCACGAAUUGAACCUAGGAUCUUUUUACUGUGAGGCAACAGUGCUAACCACCAUCACCACUGCACCAGCCCAACUAAACUCAUGACAGGAAGUAGCUCCCCCUAAUUUCUACCUAAUGCUUAAUUCAUGGUCACCACAUUGGUUGCUGCAUGUGCCAGCUGUGACAUCAUCACAGAAUCAUCACUAUUCAGUUGAUUCAUACUAAAUUUUUUGCAGUCUUCUGAGCGACAGGUGUCAAAGGAACAAGUGAAGAAACACUUUAUAAUAUGUAUGUGUCUAAGGGUGUACUUCCCCUGUUAUUGAAUGGAAUUUCAAAGUAUUUUAUCUGAAACUAAAAUGUAUAUAUAUUUACCUACAAAUACGUAAAGGUACCCCACAAUAAUAGGGUAAAGUAAAAGUAAAGUAAGACCGUUUAAAUAGUGUGUAAGUAAUUUUAAUUAAUUCAUUAGCAAUUUUACAUAGCUUCAGGUAUUUUACAAGAAAGAAGAAAUAAUUACAUUGAAGGUCAAUUUAGGUAAUGCAUAAAUAAUUAAAUAAGUGAAUAGGAAAGAAGUGCCUAAAUUCUGGCUACUUUACAGGAAAGGAGACACACACAAUACUAUAAGCAAUUUUAAGUAACUUCAUGUAUUUUACAGGAAAGAAAAAAUAAUUAGAUUGUAAGUAAUUUAGGUACUGCAUAAGUAUUUUUAAGUAGUACAUCUAGGUAUGGUGUAUAUUUGUCCAUGAUGGAUGUUAUAUUUUGAGGCCAACCAUCCAUUUAUAUUAAUAAUAUAAAUUUAACAAGGACUGUUCUCCCUUACAAAAAAUAAAUACUGUCAAUAUUUGCUGGCCUAUGUGGUCUUAUAAUAAUGGAGCCAAGCCUAACUGAAUUCUUUUUGCAGUCAUUGUUUAAAAAAUUACUUCUUAAAGAAGUGUUUCGGGAAAGAAGUGUCUGUUUUCCUGUAAAGUUACCUGUAAGCAGGGGGCAGCUUCCAUAAUGGCUGAGUGGAUGAACGGAUGGCUGGAGUAGAGGAGCUGCAGUGCGUGGAAGUGUUUCAUCUCCAGUCUGUACUCCAGAGGUGUAAGAAGGUCAGAGAGUGAGAUGCAGAGCGGUGCGCUUGCUGCCUCCUUGUGUUGCUCAACGCUCCAACAGAGCUUCCUGUGUGCGCCGUUUUCAGCUAACCUUGCCAGCAGCAAUCGGGAGCUGCCGUGAGGAGGUUCACGUGAAUAUGUAUUGUGUCAGAGAGGAGCCAGCAACUGCAUCCACAGGUCCGCAGGUUCUUCGCUCACAAUGAGACAGAGGGGAGGCGGGGGGAAGAGAUGCACGCUGCGAGAUAUCGACUGCAGCAGUCUUCUCGCCUCGUAACACAUGACAUAAUGUCUCCUGCAGACAGCCUCAGACAGCGUUGUUCUGAGACAACAACAUUUUCCAAGGAGCUCCCAACAGUAGUUCAACAAAUGCCGACCGCCAUGAUGUGACGCAGUCAUGUGGGAGCGUCUAGCAGACCAAAAAUAAAUGUAUUUGGCAGCGUGACUUCUGUUCUGGGACUGCACGCCCCUCCAAGAUGCAUAGUAGCAACAAGAACCCCAGUGCAGAACAGAGCAGGGAUCAAAUUACAAGAAACCUUGGAACAACUGCUUCUUUGUUUCAUAUAACAGUCUAUACAAACCAUGUGACAGUGGGCCUUGGUUACUUAGAUAAGUAAUUUUGUUUGCUUUUGUUCUGAGUGUGAGUACGGGCAUUUGCAAAA
Oreochromis aureus is the source of this 2280-nucleotide long non-coding RNA. Lineage: Eukaryota; Metazoa; Chordata; Actinopteri; Cichliformes; Cichlidae. The record is from Ensembl.